Molecule: ribosomal RNA, 440 nt
Filed under: uncultured bacterium
Lineage: Bacteria
Description: partial 16S ribosomal RNA
Rfam family: Bacterial small subunit ribosomal RNA
Source: RNAcentral
CCUACGGGAGGCAGCAGUAGGGAAUAUUGCUCAAUGGGGGAAACCCUGAAGCAGCAACGCCGCGUGGAGGAUGAAGGUUCUCGGAUUGUUAACCCCCUUUGUUAGAGAAGAUAAUGACGGUAUCUAACGAAUAAGCACCGGCUAACUCCGUGCCAGCAGCCGCGGUAAUAGGGCGGGUGCAAGCGUUACUCGGAAUCACUAGGCGUAAAGAGCGCGUAGGCGGGAUAGGAAGUCAGAUGUGAAAGCCUAUGGCUUAACCAUAGAACUGCAUUUGAAACUGUUAUUCUAGAGUAUGGGAGAGGUAGGUGGAAUUCUUGGUGUAGGGGUGAAAUGCGUAGAGAUCAAGAAGAAUACUCAUUGCGAAGGCGGCCUGCUGGAACAUAACUGACGCUGAUGCGCGAAAGCGUGGGGAGCGAACAGGAUUAGAUACCCUAGUAGUC